UCGCUGGAUGCUCUCUUCCAGGUGGUGGCGGGGUUGGCAGGGCUACGCGGGGCCCGUUUCACUCUAGCAGCGCUUUCCCUGAGCCUCCGCGGGAGCGCAGAGCCCAAAUCACCGAGGCCUGGGAGAUGGCCCUGAAACUCCUGCUGCCCAAACCCCGCCUUCCAAGUCCCCCUUUCAUCCCGACCCCACUAGUCGUGGGUCCCUGAGCCAUGACCUCCGAGAGGUUGGGACUGGUUCAGACAACUUUUUUUUUUUUCCGUCCCUGAUAUUGUAAAUGAACACAUAAACAAAGCAAUACAAAAGCAGGAUUACAUUGUGGCGUAUUUAAAAUGUUUAUUUACACUUGAUAAAUGAUUUAUUAACACACGCAAUCUCUGGUACUGUACAGUCUCACUUUAGAUAAUGUCAGGAUCUAAAUUUGAGCCCUUGAGGGAAUGCGAGGCCUUUGCUCUGCCCAAGACUAGCCUUCUUUGCAGGAUCAUGACAAAGUUUGUCUCCCUCUUACAAUGUCUAUACUACGGAAUGUUGUACAUUUAAGAAUUUUGAAAACUGGCGUUCUGGUAAAUGAUGGCCACCUUGAUGGUGCCUGUCCCCAGUAGUCCUAAUUUAAAGUGAGAAGAGAUAGCCAUGUUGCAUUCUGAUAAAUAAAUAAAUAAGCCACAUCAUGACAUUACUUGAGAUGGCAGGAGUUCUUCCCAAUUUACUCCUCUAAAAUGUCAGGAGUACAGGUCAUGUUGGCAGGCCAUUCCCAGGGGAGGUCAGUGGUGGCCAAAGAGAUAAUUGCUAAACUAUUAAGCAGAGAAGGAACUUCAAGCAGCUGGAACAGAAAAUGUAUGUCAUUAGAACGACGGCAUUUAAUUUAAUUACAUCCCUGGCCACUGAAGAAGCUAACAAACAGAAUCCUUGGUAAAGCAUUGCCCAGAUUCUACUGCGAUGAACAGUUGGAUCUGUCAAGUUUAAGAUUUAAUUAAGAGAAUACACCUUUCUAAUAGGUGGAGGUUCUCUUCAAGGAAGGACACCCAGUAUGACACCCAGUAGGACGGGUGCUUCCAGCUGACUUGUAAGAUGGGGAAAGACAGGUUGGGCGACAUUUUUUGACUGUACACAUCGGCUCUAGGGUGGAACUCAAGAAGAAAAUCACUACUGGGUGUGUGCAGAGCCCGAGAAGUUUUCAGCAAUGACUCUUAUGGCUCUCAAGGGUAGAGUGCUGGAAACAACGGCCCUUGGGGACUCCAAGCUUACUGCUGGCCUUGGGGAGGGUCACACCCAGUUGGGGUGACCAGAGCAGACUGCCCCUGAGGUCAUCAUUUACAGUGAAGGAAGGACUCCUUGGAGUCUAGGGAUGCUCCUUUUGAUCUGAGCUCAAAAUGUGGAGUAGGGUGUGGAAUGGAAUUUUCUAGACUGCUGAAGCAUCUAGAGGAGUUUGGGAGGAUCCUCUUCCCUGUCAUCUCCAUCAGGAUAGAUUCCAGUUUCCUCAGGCCACUGCCUAGAUGUGCAAAGGGACUGGACGGCUUUUCAGCUGGGGAUUCCACAACACUGCAAAGCAGAUAUUUCAAAACCCAACAGUCAACACAAUGCUAGGAACUUUUCUUAUGGCUUCUCAAUGUGAAAUAACUUGGUUUUGCAAGCAUGUUUGACAGACUAGACAAUCCUUUCUAGAACGUUAAGACUUUAGGAAAUUCUUCUGGAAAAUGAGGUGUUGAACUGCAUGUCUUCUACCUCAAAACGCAAACUGUCUUGCCUUAACCAUUUUCGGCAUUUUAGAAUGUCUUUCGACAGGUAGAAUAGAGUUUGUCCACUUGCAAGCUGAGUUAGAUUCGAAGUUUAAAUGAGUGGAUGAGUAGUUUGAAGUUUAUAAUAAAGACAACUUAUCAACAUUCUUAUUAUGUUAAUGUUAUAACCCUGGGGGGCCAUUUUCAGCCGCUCAGCAUACUUUGAGCACUCUCUGUAUGCUAUGGGGGAGCACUAAGAAUUUUUAUUUCACUGGAGCAAAAAGAGGAAUAUAUUAAAUAACAAAGCAAGAGGCUAAAUUGCAUGGCCUGAAUAAUAACUAUGUGGAUUACAGGAGGUAAAUUGGGAGUGAAGAGAAGGGGACUCAUCAAGUAAGAUAAUAUAUGUAACCACUAGAACAAGGUAAGCACUCAAUACAUAUAAGCUAUUAUCAUCAUUCACUAUGGAGUGGGGAUUUAAGCUGGAGUUUGAAACUAUGGAGGAACUAUUCAUUCAUUCAUUCGUUCAUUCAUGAAACGUAUUUGUCAAGCACUUGUCAAGCACUGUACUGGACACUGCGGGGUAAAGAGGAGAUAAGAUAGAUCAAGUACAGCCCUCAUGGAGCUUCCAUCCUGUUGGGGGAAAGAGGAAAGACAGCAGACAAAUAAAUGAAUAAAAUAAGUACAGAUUGUUCUUAGUGCUUUGAAGGAAUUAAAAGUAUAUUAUGAUCACUCAUAAUGGGGUGGGGGAUCUACUUUAUACAGAUCUACUUUGAUUGGAUGAGAUGAGACCCGAAGAUGGGAAGGAGCCAGCCACGAAAAGUGCUAAGGAAAGAACAUUCCAGGCAGUGGUCAGAGUAAGCGUGAAUAUCUGGAGGCAAGAAAAUACUUCCCUAUUGGAGGAACAGAAGAGAGCAAGACGAGAGUGGUUGCAUUCGUAAUUGGAGGCAUAAGCAGAAAGCAGGUCCCAGAGGACCUCGUAGGCCAUGACAGGUUGGAAUUUUAUUCUCAGUCUCCCUAUAAGUAAAGAGAGGGAUAGUAUUGUGAUGGGGUGAGAGCAGGGCAAAGGCGCAGGAUGAGCAAGGCAUGUCUGUGGGCAAAAGCCAACAUAGCAGCCUGGCUGGGGAGGGCAGCUGCAGCAGAAGCAGGCUGGAGACCAAGGUUUUAGCUAGAUUCUGAAUGGCUUGAAUUAAUUUUUAUUUUUAUUCCCUGUAAGCAAUAGGGUGUUGUUGAUUAUUGAUCAGAGGAAUGAUUUAAUGAAUUUAAAAAAUUUCAGGGAGGGCUUCCCUGGCGGCGCAGUAGUUGAGAGUCCGCCUGUCGAUGCAGGGGACACGGGUUCGUGCCCCGGUCCGGGAAGAUCCCACAUGCCGUGGAGCGGCUGGGCCCGUGAGCCAUGGCUGCUGAGCCUGCGCGUCCGGAGCCUGUGCUCUGCAGCAGGAGAGGCCACGACAGUGAGAGGCCCGCGUACCGCAAAAAAAAAAAAAAAAAAAAAAAAAAAAAUUUCAGGGAUACCUGCCGCAUCUAAAUACUACGGUAGGGAAUCCAAAAAUAUGUAAGAUGACUUCCCUACCCAAUUUACUGAAUCUAUUCUAAAAAUUACGUCUAGGGAUAUUCACCAAAUGACGGUGAAAAGACUAGUGUAAGAAAAUACUGCCGGGUCUAUUGCAGGGGCCUCACCUGUACCACUUCUCCUGCCUCCUCAGCGGUGUUGCUCAGUCCCCUGCCAUGUCACCUGCUCCCGCUCUCUGGCUUCCCCUGGGCAUAUCCGCAGGCUUUCCCCUCUUUUUAAAUGUCAUUCAGCUUUAAGAAAACAGCAUCUCUGAAAACCCCAGCCCUUGAACUACUGUUCUCUCCCUCUCUUGCUCUCUGUUCAAAGUUAAAUUUCUUGGAAGAGUUAUAUGCAUUCCUCAUCCACACUUCCUCAUCUCUAAUUCGAUCUAUCAUCAUUUGGCUCACCCUAACUUAACUUUCAACUAUCUCUACCCCAGUCCACCACUCCACUGAAACUUCUCUCCUAAAGUUAACAAUUACAUUCAAAUUCUCAAAUACAAUGGUACUUUCCUUUCCUUAUCAUGUUUCAUCUUUUUUUCUGAUUUUCUAGCUUUACAUGUUGAUCUGAUCAUAUUCUCUUCCUACCCAUCUUGGUUUCCUGUUAUCCUUUUGGGUUUCCCUUCUAACUUUCCGUUUCUUCCUUUGAAGUGUGCUCUUCCUCUGUUAAUCUCUUACAUAUUGAUGUUCCCCAAAGUUCAAUCUCCUGCCCACUUCCUCCUCAUCCCAUGUACUGUUACUGAGUAGCCUAAUCCAAACCUAUGGCUUCAACUGAACCAAUAUUCCAGGGACUCUCCCCUCUUCACAUUUAGCCCAGAAUUUUCUCCUGAGCUCCACAUCUGAAGUUCCAGCUGGACACUCCUGGGUACUGCAAACUAAACCUCUUCCUCCAUAGUUCUGUCCCUCUCUUCCCUAUCUCGUGAACAUCAGCACCACCCGCCAAGUCAGACAACUGGAAUGUUUCACGGAUAUCUCCCUCUCUCUCACCCUUAGAUGCAAUUAAUCACAAAGAUCUGUCAACUCUGCUUCCUAAAUAUGUCUUCUUAGUUUAGUCCCUCCUCCCUGUUCCCAUUUGCCAUAGUCCAGACUUUCAUCAUUUAUUGCCUGGAUCACUGCCAUCACCUUCCAACCAGUCCUUCUGCCUCUAGUUGGGCCUCCCUCCAAUUUAUCAUCUAUGUUACUGCCAGGAUGAUCCUUAUAAAAUGUAAUUUAGACAAUGUUACUCCCUUGUCUAAAAUCUUUCAAUGACUACAUGUAGUCUGCAAAGUAAAGUUCAGGUUUCCUUAUAUUUCAUAACAGGUUCCUCAUGGCCUGGCCACGACCCAACUCUGUAGGCUCUUCUCCCACCAACCCCUCAUAGCUAUCCUACUCUCUAGGUCAGCAUCCCCAAUGCUGUUCUGAGCUGUACUUCCUCAAGAUAUUAAUAAAAGUCUGGGCAAAUGAGUUUGAGAAAGGAUGAAAACACAUUUCUACACAGUAAUAUGCAUUGAGAAUGUCCAAGAAAUGAACAGAGUGGGUCAAGUUUGAGCACCAAACUCUAUUAACAUCUCAAGGAAUUCAAUUUGGGAAAUGCUACUGAAGGCAUCAGAGUUCCUGGAAUACGCCAUACUCUCGUUUCUCCCCACUCUACCUGGGUUGUCAUUCACUUAUUAAUCAAUUAAUUUUUAAAAACAAACUGUAUCUCCUAAAGAGUGCAAUACACUGGGAAUACAAAUGGCAAAAAUGCUCUAAGUAAGCUAAAUAAGUAAACCCAUGAUUACAACACGUCAGGAUAAAUGCUAUGUAACUUGGCAGAAUAAGGUGAGGGACCUGACAGAGUUGGUGGGAUCAGGAAACAGUAACCCUGCCUCCCCUUUUUUCACCUGGGUUAUUUCUGAGAUAGGUGUCAGUUUUCAUUUGGUGUAUUUUGAGUCCUAGUUGUUAAGUGCACGUAUAUUUAUAAUUGUUAAAUUUUCCUGAUGUAUUGACUCUUAUCUUUAUGAAAUGUCCCUCUUAGUCUCUAGUAAUAUUUCUUGUCUUAAAGUCUGUUUUGUCUAAUAUUAAUAUAACCACUUCAGUUCUCUAAUGGUUACUGUUUGAAUGGAAUAUCUUUUUCCAUCCUUUCACUUUCAAUCUACUUACGUCUUUGAAUCUAAGAUGUGUCUCUUGUAGACAGCAUAUAGUUGGAUCUUGCCUUUUUUUCCAGUCUGACAAUCUCUGCAUUUUGAUUGGGGUGUUUAGACUCUUCACAUUUAAUGUAAUUAUUGAUAUGGUUGGACUUAUAUUUGCCAUUUAUCUAUUUGUUUUCUAUAGCUCAAUUCUCUUUUUCAUUCUUCUUCUCUGCCUUGACUGUCUUCUUUUGUGUUAAAUAUUUUCAGUGUAACAUUUAAAUUAUUCUGUUAAUUUUAAAAAUAAUUUAGUUUUUUUAGGGAUUAUAAUCUAAGGAUUACAAUAUGCAACUUAAUUUGUCACAAUUUACUUCAGAUUAAUACUAAUUUAAUUCUAGAAAAAUAUAGAAACUUUGCUUCAAUAUAUCUCUAUUCCCUUCUGCCUUUUUGUGCUAUUAUUGUCGUAUAUGUUACAUCUAUAUAUGCUAUAAAACCAACGAUACAAUGUUGUAAUUAUUGCUUUAAAUAAUUGUAUGUAUUUAAAGAAGUUAAGACAUGAGAAAUAGAUAACUGCAGUCUUUUAUAUUAGCCCAUAUAAUUAUCAUCUCUGGUAAUCUUCAUUUCUCCCUGUAGGUAUGGGCACUCCAAAUUGAAUGAGCCCCUUCAACUGUGGCAGAGGUAUUGUUGGUACUGAUAGCCUGCUCUGCCCUGACAGAACAUCUACAUUGGCCAACCUGGGGUGGGGGCAGGGAGGAGAAUGGGAGGGGCCAGAAUGCCACAGACUCCCACUGUUCUUACCUGAAGUUCAAGCAUGAGCACUUUUCAGAUUGUUGUGUGUCUUUGAUCUAUUCUCAGAAGGCUGAAAUGGUUAUUUUGGUCUUUUUUUUUUUAAGGUCUGUAACAUGCGGGAUCUUAGUUCCCUGACCAGGGAUUGAACCUGUGCCCCCUGCAUUGGGAACGCAGAAUCUUAACCACUGGACCGCCGGAGAAGUCUCGUUUUGGGCUACUUUCAAUCAAGGAAAGAUUGAACUCCCCAAUGAUGUCAAAGACAGCAUAUUGCAGAGGUUAACUAACGAGUCACCCGGAGAAGAUGGAGCAGCCAUUGUGCUGACAUGUUCAAGAGCUAAUCGGUUCUGAUGAUGUAAUUUGCAGUAGUGCUUGAUGUCUAUUAGCCUGAUGUGAGACAGUUGCUGUGGGCCCGGAGGAUUAAAGUGUGAAGCAUGAGGGAUUUUACCAGGCCUAACACAGUCUCAACUCCAGGCUCACUUUAUCCAAGACCACUUCAGUCAACACUGAUGCUCCCUUCCAUGAACUCCUGUGGAACUUACAGUCAGAAUUAUAUGCUUUAGCACUUACUUCUUGAAUGUUUAUCAUGUACCCUCAACUUGACCAGAAGCUACUGAGGACAUAAUUUUUUCUGUAUCUCUCACUGCAUAGAGCCUAAUGGUAGGCACAAAAUUUAAAUAAAAAAUGUUUGGGGCAAAAUAUUGAUAAUUGUUCAAGCAGAGGAAUGGUUACACAUGGGUUUCUGCUACUAUCCUUUCUACUUUUGUGUGCUUGGAAAUUCCCUUGAUAGCAGGGUUGGCAGAUUUAGCAAAUAAUCAUGCAGGAUGCCCUGUUAAAUUUGAAUUUCAGAUAAACAACGACUAAUUUCUUACUAUUAAUAAUUUGUAUUAUAUUUUGAUAUAUCACCCAUAAUUUUUCAUACCAUUUAAUUUAAUCAUAUAAUUUUUUUUUUUUUUUUUUGCGGUGCGCGGGCCUCUCACUGUUGUGGCCUCUCCUGUUGCAGAGCACAGGCUCCGGACGCGCAGGCUCAGCGGCCAUGGCUCACAGGCCCAGCCACUCCGCGGCAUGUGGGAUCCUCCCGGACUGGGGCACGAAUCCGUGUCCCCUGCAUCGGCAGACCGACUCUCAACCACUGCACCACCAGGGAAGCCCGGGUGACCUGUAUUUUAUCUAGCAACCUGACUUGCUAGAAACUUAAAAACAUAAUUGGUGAUUGAUCCAUGGGCUCAGAGAAAGUGGAUGGUAGAAACGGUGCCUUUUCUCUUAGAGUGUGAUCUGGUGUCACUUACCUGUUAUAAAGGCAGCUUCCUAUGCUCCCCUACUCCGCCCCAGAGGUGCCAAAUCAGUAUUUCUUCUGGUGGGACUCUGCACUUGCAACAAGAUCCCAGAUGAU
This is a long non-coding RNA of Orcinus orca (killer whale), 7523 nucleotides long. RefSeq lists it as uncharacterized. The transcript is spliced from 3 exons. The record is from RefSeq and is a predicted model, not a curated record. NCBI's taxonomy places the organism in Eukaryota, Metazoa, Chordata, Mammalia, Artiodactyla, Delphinidae.